This 31-nucleotide small nuclear RNA is filed under the name Cervus elaphus hippelaphus. The record is from RNAcentral. Lineage: Eukaryota; Metazoa; Chordata; Mammalia; Artiodactyla; Cervidae.
GUGCUCGCUUCGGCAGCACAUAUCCUAAAAU